ACAAAGAUAACAAUUGUGGUGGUAGAGGUAGAGAUCAAAAUAUGAGUUUUUUUAUCUUUCAGAAUAUUGAAAGUAAUUAUUUAUUAAUUUUAUUUUUUAGAAAAUAAUGGAAGUAAUAUUUAAAAAUAAAAAAUAAAUAAUAGCACCAAACAUAUUUUUUAUCUUGAACUUUGUAAUUUUAUUUUAAAAAUAGAAUCAAAACUUUACAAAUUAUUAAAUUAACAAUGGCAAAUAAAUCAUCUCGGUAGUGGUAGCACGAGCACCGAUAAUUUGGUGGAGAUGAUGAAAAUUGUAGCAAUUGAGUGGAGGUGAUAGCAACAACAGUGAUGGCAAUAAUAAC
RNAcentral lists this long non-coding RNA (340 nucleotides) under Phoenix dactylifera (date palm). Its description in RNAcentral is "long non-coding RNA (PDAC_LNC018297)". Lineage: Eukaryota; Viridiplantae; Streptophyta; Magnoliopsida; Arecales; Arecaceae. The record is from RNAcentral.